Molecule: ribosomal RNA, 255 nt
Filed under: uncultured bacterium
Lineage: Bacteria
Description: partial 16S ribosomal RNA
Rfam family: Bacterial small subunit ribosomal RNA
Source: RNAcentral
UACGGGGGGAGCAAGCGUUGUUCGGAUUUACUGGGCGUAAAGGGCGCGUAGGCGGCCAGCACAAGUCAGUUGUGAAAUCUCCGGGCUUAACUCGGAAAGGUCAACUGAUACUGUGCGGCUAGAGUGCGGAAGGGGCAACUGGAAUUCUCGGUGUAGCGGUGAAAUGCGUAGAUAUCGAGAGGAACACCUGCGGCGAAGGCGGGUUGCUGGGCUGACACUGACGCUGAGUGCGCGAAAGCCAGGGGAGCGAACGGG